UCCGGUUUGACACCGGCAGUCUCCCUAGAGUGCCCGGCUUUACCCGCUGGUAACUAGGGACAAGGGUUGCGCUCGUUGCGGGACUUAACCCAACACCUCACGGCACGAGCUGACGACAGCCGUGCAGCACCUGUGCAGGCUCCCGAAGGAGCCCCGGCUUUCACCGGGUUUACCCUGCAUGUCAAGCCCUGGUAAGGUUCUUCGCGUUGCGUCGAAUUAAACCACAUGCUCCACCGCUUGUGCGGGCCCCCGUCAAUUCCUUUGAGUUUCAGCCUUGCGGCCGUACUCCCCAGGCGGGGCACUUAAUGCGUUAGCGCCGGCACUCGGAGGGUCGCUCCCCCAAGCACCUAGUGCCCAUCGUUUACGGCGUGGACUAC
RNAcentral lists this unclassified non-coding RNA (377 nucleotides) under uncultured Gemmatimonadaceae bacterium. Its description in RNAcentral is "contains 16S-23S intergenic spacer region". Lineage: Bacteria; Pseudomonadati; Gemmatimonadota; Gemmatimonadia; Gemmatimonadales; Gemmatimonadaceae. The record is from RNAcentral.